This is a non-coding RNA of Durio zibethinus, 1278 nucleotides long. NCBI's taxonomy places the organism in Eukaryota, Viridiplantae, Streptophyta, Magnoliopsida, Malvales, Malvaceae. The record is from RefSeq and is a predicted model, not a curated record.
AGUGUAUUUAAGAUUUUAUUUUUGAAAUAUUUUUUUCUUCACGAGGAGAAAAUUACUAGGAAAGGAUUUAUAAAAGAAAUUGCAAACUUGUAAGAGCCGUCUGAUCCAAACCAUGGACUGGCCUAGUAACUAUCCCAUUAACCAAAACAGAAAAGCCCCAUACAAACGAUCCAUUUUGGCCCAUACUAUAUAAGACCCAGACCCUGCCGCGUUUUUCCAUUCCCACUUCUUCCUUUCCCAUAAAGCUUCCCUCAUACAAACGGACUACCUCUCUCUAACUCCACAAAACCUAACUUACCUUGAAAAAAAAAAAAAAUUCCAGAUAUAGAGGUUGAGGAAGAGAGAAAAAAAGAUGAUGAUGACUAAGACGAAGGCGUUCAAGAUGUGUUGAUGCCACGAAACUUGGUCCUUCCUCAAGUCUUCGACAAACUUCACGGCUUUCUCAAGGAUAGCGGAGCCCAAGUCUUCCUCUGUUGUGAGCCUUCUCGAAACGCCCCCGAUGAUUUCCACGUCAUCUCUCCCAUCGAUCACGUUCAUCCAAAUGUUCCUUGUAUGCUUUUUACACCUAUCUGCCCACAUUCCCUCUCAUUUAGAUCAGUUAUACUUCCAGAUUCUGCAAGGCUUAAAUUGAAGGUGUGGGUGUGGUAAUGUGUAUGCAUGGGCAUUGGAGUCAGCUCUUCUAACCUUCAUGUGAAAGAUUCCUGAUGAUGCUUGGAGUAACGCUUGGGUUUCUUUUGAUGGGAAGAGAAGGCAGCAACUCUCACGAGGACAUUCUGUCAGAAUAUCUAUGAGCCAGCACCCCCUCCCAACUGUCAAUAAAUCUGAUCAAACAUGUGAUUGGCUCCACUGCUUGAUUCGCUGCCUAAACUCGAAUGAGAGAAUGGAUCAAAAAGCCCUGUAAGGCCUUGCCUCUGACAUUGGGUAGCAAGUUUCUUCAUCCUCAAGGUAGGAUAAUGAAGCUUCAUGUAAAUGGCUGUACAAAUCUAAAUGGGAAAAAGUAAAAAAUGUUUAAUAUACAAAUAGUGGAUGUUAUUCAUUACCAACAUAGGCUUGUCCAUGUCAAUUUUCACCCUUAAAUUGUACAAACACUGUCAGUUAGGACACGGCACGAAUUUGAAAUAAGGAAAAAAAAAAGAUCUGAUCAUUUCUUUUUGGUGAAAGAAUCUAAUCAUCAAAUGUGUUGUAUUAAAGCUAUAAUUUGUCAUUGCAUGAUCAAUUACGUAUGUCUUUCUGGUAGUUUUGUAUCAUAUAUUUCUGCAACUUAAUAAGAGAAUGCGG